UAGUUUGAUCCUGGCUCAGGAUGAACGCUGGCGGCGUGCUUAACACAUGCAAGUCGAGCGAAGCGCUUACGACAGAACCUUCGGGGGAAGAUGUAAGGGACUGAGCGGCGGAUGGGUGAGUAACGCGUGGGUAACCUGCCUCAUACAGGGGGAUAACAGUUAGAAAUGACUGCUAAUACCGCAUAAGACCACAGCACCGCAUGGUGCAGGGGUAAAAACUCCGGUGGUAUGAGAUGGACCCGCGUCUGAUUAGGUAGUUGGUGGGGUAACGGCCUACCAAGCCGACGAUCAGUAGCCGACCUGAGAGGUUGAACGGCCACAUUGGGACUGAGACACGGCCCAGACUCCUACGGGAGGCAGCAGUGGGGGAUAUUGCACAAUGGGGGAAACCCUGAUGCAGCGACGCCGCGUGGAGGAAGAAGGUUUUCGGAUUGUAAACUCCUGUCGUUAGGGACGAUAAUGACGGUACCUAACAAGAAAGCACCGGCUAACUACGUGCCAGCCGCCGCGGUAAUAC
This 517-nucleotide ribosomal RNA is filed under the name uncultured bacterium. Its description in RNAcentral is "bacterial SSU rRNA". It matches the Rfam family "Bacterial small subunit ribosomal RNA", at positions 9 to 526 of the family's 1533-position model. The record is from RNAcentral.